This 518-nucleotide long non-coding RNA is filed under the name Physcomitrium patens. RNAcentral describes it as "long non-coding RNA (PPAT_LNC013368)". The record is from RNAcentral. Lineage: Eukaryota; Viridiplantae; Streptophyta; Bryopsida; Funariales; Funariaceae.
UAUUUUAAUUCAUCAUUUGAUUGGAUUGUAUUAAUUGCUGCAGAUUAAAAUUAUACUGAAGUCUUAAAUUAAUUAAUUGUAAAACAUCUUCAUAAUCAACAUGUUAUCUGAUGAUUUUUUGAAACAUAAACUCUCAUAAAAUGUACACAUAUUUUCCUAUGUGUAAUAGAAUUUUUGGACCAAACCACCCCAAAACUUCACACGGCACGUGAGGCAGCUAAUUCGGAGAAUUGCAAAAUUUGACCACACUCGUCAGCAAUAACUGCUCAACAAAUUCACAAAGCUAAAUCGACGAGGGAGAGUUGUUCAAAAUGUGGACGUAACAAACGAUGCGUUGGGUUCAAAUGAAAGCGCACGAUUUGUCAUUCGGCAUAUUCGACGAGCCCGUUUCUUCGAGGGAGGAAGUGCUGUAUCGGAAAUCUCGAGAAAACGUGAGGCUCUCCGAAGCUUGGAAGAGCUGGAUCGGUGAUUUGACUAGGACACGUAGGUUGAGAAUUCAUUUCUUUAAUUACAGCGAG